ACGUACACUCCUACGGGAGGCAGCAGUGGGGAAUAUUGGACAAUGGGGGCAACCCUGAUCCAGCCAUGCCGCGUGAGUGAUGAAGGCCCUAGGGUUGUAAAGCUCUUUUGUGCGGGAAGAUAAUGACGGUACCGCAAGAAUAAGCCCCGGCUAACUUCGUGCCAGCAGCCGCGGUAAUACGAAGGGGGCUAGCGUUGCUCGGAAUCACUGGGCGUAAAGGGUGCGUAGGCGGGUCUUUAAGUCGGGGGUGAAAUCCUGGAGCUCAACUCCAGAACUGCCUUUGAUACUGAGGAUCUUGAGUCCGGAAGAGGUGAGUGGAACUGCGAGUGUAGAGGUGAAAUUCGUAGAUAUUCGCAAGAACACCAGUGGCGAAGGCGGCUCACUGGUCCGGUACUGACGCUGAGGCACGAAAGCGUGGGGAGCAAACAGGAUUAGAAACCUAGUAGUCCC
This 450-nucleotide ribosomal RNA is filed under the name uncultured organism. RNAcentral's name for it is "partial 16S ribosomal RNA". It matches the Rfam family "Bacterial small subunit ribosomal RNA", at positions 329 to 797 of the family's 1533-position model. The record is from RNAcentral.